This 189-nucleotide ribosomal RNA is filed under the name uncultured Mucor. Its description in RNAcentral is "partial 26S ribosomal RNA". It matches the Rfam family "Eukaryotic large subunit ribosomal RNA", at positions 97 to 281 of the family's 3401-position model. Lineage: Eukaryota; Fungi; Mucoromycota; Mucoromycetes; Mucorales; Mucoraceae. The record is from RNAcentral.
GAGAGGAAGAGCUCAAGUUGGAACUGUUUGGCUUAGCUAAACCGUAUUGUAAACUGUAAAAACAUUUUCCUGGCACGCCGGAUUAAAAAUUCCUUUGGAACAAGGCUUCAUGGAGGGGGAAAAUCCCGUCUUUGAUCCGAGUAGUUGUCUUUUGUGAUAUGUUUUCAAAGAGUCGAGUUGUUUGGGAAU